AGGGUGAUAAUCGGGGACACAACGGUAAUUGGAUCUCCUUUAAUAUUUUAAUUAAAAAUAUAUAUUCCUUAAUCAUUGCAUACCCUUUCAAUUGUCCAUUUUAUUUUCCAUCAUUAAUACUAACGUGAGGAAAGGUAUUGGAAUUGUGCAAAUCUUCUUGGUUACAGCAAAACCAAUUCAACACUUUUUCAAUUUUUACACGUUUCUUCAUUCCAAUACACACAUUUUUCAUCUCUUUCCCUCUCCCUCUCUCUCUCUCUCAGACAAAACUUAACCCUUCUUUCUUUCUUUCUUUCUUCCAUUUUCACUCCUCUCUCUUUUUCCUUCAAACCCUUGAACCACCGCCUGUUUACAGCCACCACACAUCCGCCAACACUGUCACUCCGCUGCGCGGGACCAAACAACAACCACCACUUUCAGAUUAUACGCGAUUAUUUCUCUUUUCCUUUCACUCUAUUGAUUUCAGGGUUUGUGCUUCUAAUCCUCAUUGUUUUGAUUUUCGAUUUUAGGUUUUGCCAUCAAAAAACAUGUCUUAUUGCUUAUUUCUGACCACUGUGAAUCGUAUCCCUUGCAAGCUUAUUAUAAGAGUAUUUGAAAGAAGAAAACACUCAGAUCCUGCAACAAACAAAUUACAUGAGUUUCAAUUUUUCAAUCUCUUCUUAUUGUUGAUUUAAGGUUGUCUUUGGCUCUACUGUGAAAUUUCUCCAUCUUUGGCUCUACAAAUUUAGUUUGUGAAAAUAUUAUAGAUGUAUGCUUGAAAAUUGAUAUGAAGAGAAAGCAAAUUAAAAGAUAUCUCAUUCAUGUUUUUUAACUUCAUAGAUUGCAAUCAUGGUGUUUGGAACAAACUUCAUAGGUAAAGCAAACUGGAAGCCCUUACUUUCGGUCAACAAAAUGAUGCAAACACUCUAACAUUUUCUCAAUAUGAUGCAAUUGUUGCUGAACCUGAACAAGAACCAAAAUCAUAUGGAAACUCACCACUUCCCUUAGCUGUAGAUAGAACAAGAAGAAAAGAUCCUUUAGAUGGCUUCAUUGUAUACACUAAUGAAUGGAAUAUAAGUGACCACCAUUAUUGUGUUGGGAUUUGAAGAAAAUGUUGUCAGGACCAAUUGGAUUACAUAAUCAAGAUCAAAAGUUGUUUUACAAAGACAAAUAAAGAGAUUCAAAGGCUUUUUUUGACAUAGUUGGUGUAAAGAGAUUCCAAUUAAAUUAAGCUUGAUGCGACUAUUGACAAUAUAUUUACCACUUGAAGGACAUCUUGCAGAAUGUAGUUUGUUGCUGUUAGUUAAAUCCUUUCCCUUUAUCAAAGUACACAAAUAUUUGGAAAAGUAAGCUGAAGAUGGUUUAACUAUAUUAAAAAUAAUAUAUGCGGUUGGUUUACACUAUAAACUAUGUUAAAAAUGUAUUUCGUUUAAUGUAUUUAACAACUGCAGUUGAGAUACUUUCAUU
Molecule: long non-coding RNA, 1446 nt
Organism: Vicia villosa (hairy vetch)
Lineage: Eukaryota; Viridiplantae; Streptophyta; Magnoliopsida; Fabales; Fabaceae
Exons: 5
Source: RefSeq, a predicted model, not a curated record